AGCAGCCGCGGUAAUUCCAGCUCCAAUAGCGUAUAUUAAAGUUGUUGCAGUUAAAAAGCUCGUAGUUGAACUUCGGGAUCAAUGGAUUGGUCAUGCCGAUGGUAUGUACUGGUCAUAUUGGUUCUCACCUUCUAAGGAACCAUGAUGUCAUUCACUUGGUGUUGCGGGGAAUUAGGACUGUUACCUUGAAAAAAUUAGAGUGUUUAAAGCAGGCUAACGCUUGAAUACAUUAGCAUGGAAUAAUGAAAUAGGACAUCGCAUUCUAUUUUGCUGGUUUCUAGGAUCGAUGUAAUGAUUAAUAGGGAUAGUUGGGGGCAUUAGUAUUCAAUUGUCAGAGGUGAAAUUCUUGGAUUUAUUGAAGACUAACUACUGCGAAAGCAUUUGCCAAGGAUGUUUUCAUUAAUCAAGAACGAAAGUUAGGGGAUCGAAGACGAUCAGAUACCGUCGUAGUCUUAACCAUAAACUAUGCCGACUAGGGAUCGGAUGAUGUUAAUUUUUUUAA
This 502-nucleotide ribosomal RNA is filed under the name uncultured Glomus. RNAcentral's name for it is "SSU rRNA". It matches the Rfam family "Eukaryotic small subunit ribosomal RNA", at positions 569 to 1074 of the family's 1831-position model. The record is from RNAcentral. Lineage: Eukaryota; Fungi; Glomeromycota; Glomeromycetes; Glomerales; Glomeraceae.